UCCUCCAAUUCGUCGCCGCUGCCCCUCCCGCUCCUCUCUCGCUGCCACUCGUCCUGCUCCUCUCCCCAGUUUCUUCUUCUUCCCCCCUCCCUACUCGCCAUGCCCCGGUCGUGCAUAGAAGGAGGAGCACAGAGAAGGGGCACUGGGACGUGCCACGUCCAGUGAGGGUCAGAGAGGGAGAAACAGUGAAUAGGGUACUGACGGAGGAGGAAGAGAGACCCAGCGGCGCGCUGCAUCUCCCUCUAUCUCGGCUUCUCUUCGUCUCGCGCAGUGGCCGUUGGCCUGCCGGGAUCUGCCCCUCCACCCAACCCCUCUUCGUUUGGGGCAGAAGGAGGUCAUCUACGUUGCCGGUGUCCCAGGCUCCCAGCAGCGUGUCGGGGAAGACUUGCUGCAAGGCGGAGCACGCUCGAGAGACGGCGAUAUACGGAGCUAGGAGUUUAAGGCACACCAUCGUUCUUAGUAUUGGAUCCUGCGCCCAUUUUAACUUCUCAAGAAUAACUGAAUGUAUGAUUACUUCAUAAGCGCCUUAUAGAUAUUGCCAUCUGAUGUGUAAAUAUUGUGGAAGGAAGAUGAACAUAUUCAGGGCAACUAACGGUCAUGAAAUAGGGAAUGAAGUCGCCGAGGCAGCACGAACUCUCG
Long non-coding RNA from Lolium rigidum, 639 nucleotides. RefSeq lists it as uncharacterized. The transcript has 4 exons. Lineage: Eukaryota; Viridiplantae; Streptophyta; Magnoliopsida; Poales; Poaceae. The record is from RefSeq and is a predicted model, not a curated record.